CUAAAAGCGGCGUAAAACUAAACUCAGUCAGUCAGUCAUAGUGGAUUCAUUGCAGCCCUAAUGUGAACCUUCAGCAGCCUGUGAUUUAGAAAUACAAUCCGACAUAAACUUACAAGUAAAUCUUGUCUUAAUUGAUCAUUUGCAGAUAAUUUGCUUUUCAUGCGGAAGACCUGGGUUUGAAGCCCAUUGAUGUCCUAGCCAUGAUAUUGCUGGAGUUUUGCUUAAGCAUCAUAACUCACCCACCCAUACUAGUAUUGUGUGGGGCAGUGGGGUAGCCCAGUGGUUAAAGCGUUUGCUCAUCAAGCUGAAGACCUGGGUUGAAUUCCCCACAUGGGUACAAUGUGUGAAGCCCAUUUCUGGUGUCUCCCGCCGUAAUAUUGCUGGAAUAUUGCUAAAAGCGGUGUAAAACCAUACUCACUCACUCAGUAGUCUGUACUUGGUGAUGUGCGACAUCAGUCUGUGCCAGGACCAACGAGCUACCUUCAUAAUCUCCGCUGCUGGCAUGUCCUCCCUACCUGCAGCAUUGUGCUGUGGGUGUGGGUGUGAAAGACAUGACCCACCCACCCAGCCAGCCAGUUCAGUACCAGUGUCAUCCUAUGGGCCAUUGUGGCUGUAGGUACAGGCAGAUGUGGCCGAUGAAUGCUGAUUAUUUUGACCACUCGGUAAUGAGGCAGAUCUCAGAUAAAAUGACACUUUUGAUGACAACAUCAAUCUUCUUAACAUAAAAGAAACUCUUUCCAAGCUUGUUUGAUAGUUUCAAGUGUAAACGCAUUUUCAUUGUGCUUGAUGUGAGUUUGGAGAGUUGACUAUAGAUGAAGUCAACAAAAUGAUUUAGAGAGGAGUUGUCUCCCAUACGCUGCUCAAUCAUAGACCACUGAAGAGACAACUGACUUCUCCCUUUGUUCUGGAUGAAGACAUUGUAGUGGGACUUCUUCCUUUGUUCUGGAUGAAGCACACAGGAGAUCAGGUUCUCGAUCCACAAAACGUUCGUAACGUUACGGCUUGACGUAACUCUAUAGUUUACCAUAGGCUUAUGAAUGUCGUAGCUGCUACCAACACUG
This is a long non-coding RNA of Haliotis rubra (blacklip abalone), 1061 nucleotides long. RefSeq lists it as uncharacterized. Lineage: Eukaryota; Metazoa; Mollusca; Gastropoda; Lepetellida; Haliotidae. The record is from RefSeq and is a predicted model, not a curated record. The transcript has 3 exons.